AUAGGCUCCCUCUGUCCGCUGUGAAGGAGCUGGCAGGAGUGCGAGGGUGCAGGCAGCAAGCACCAGGGAAAGCAGGCCUGUCAAGCCCAUCACUGUGGACGCCUGGUAACUUAAUCUGGGGACUAUCAGAGAAGCAAACAAGUCUGCUAAUGCUUCGGGCCCUUCCCACAGAAGUAAACCUUUGGCACCUGGUUGAUCACCAGCAGUGUGGGCCUUGGGCAGUUCCCUCUCUCCCCAGUCGUGCUUGGGCUUGAACCCUUCCUUGCACACCACCAGUGGCUUCCCAGCUCUAAAAUUAAGAAGAAAAGGACUAAAAGUUUGGAUUUGCAACAGCUGUCAACUUUCCAGUGAGGCAGGGGGAAAUAGAAUACUUUCUCAUGAAGAGCUUCACAAGCUGAGAUGUCAAGAGGAAAUUGGCUUCCUAGACUAUUAUGUACAAAUGAGAUCAUCCAGAAAAUCAGAAAAUAUCUGUUACAUAAUGGAGUG
Long non-coding RNA from Manis pentadactyla (Chinese pangolin), 486 nucleotides. RefSeq lists it as uncharacterized. The record is from RefSeq and is a predicted model, not a curated record. Lineage: Eukaryota; Metazoa; Chordata; Mammalia; Pholidota; Manidae. The transcript is spliced from 3 exons.